Molecule: long non-coding RNA, 267 nt
Organism: Syngnathoides biaculeatus (alligator pipefish)
Lineage: Eukaryota; Metazoa; Chordata; Actinopteri; Syngnathiformes; Syngnathidae
Exons: 2
Source: RefSeq, a predicted model, not a curated record
GGAAAUGUGGACGAAAGUUGGGAGCAGCAAACUUAAAAGGAUGCCAAAAUACGAAAGGAUACGUGUCAAAUGCUUUUCCAGAAUCGCAGCUGUGAUGCAUGGUCGACUUUUUUGGAAGGAAUGUUGAACAGCCAGCAGGUCGUCCUCGUCCACAAGUCCGACGUCAUCCGUGCGUGGGUCCCGCAUCCUUCAUCUUCAGCCGUCGUUUGUCGGGAUGCGACAAGUAGCGCUUGAAAAAAAACCAAACCAUUUGGGCUAUUUUGCCAA